UAAUCUCAGCUGGUAAUAUAUGAGUGGUUCAAUCUCUCACCGUUACUCGCUGUGGUUGAA
Molecule: microRNA precursor, 60 nt
Filed under: Octopus bimaculoides (California two-spot octopus)
Lineage: Eukaryota; Metazoa; Mollusca; Cephalopoda; Octopoda; Octopodidae
Description: Obi-Mir-216-P2c_pre stem-loop
Source: RNAcentral